RNAcentral lists this long non-coding RNA (649 nucleotides) under Dromaius novaehollandiae (emu). RNAcentral describes it as "lncRNA (ENSDNVG00000008047.1)". Lineage: Eukaryota; Metazoa; Chordata; Aves; Casuariiformes; Dromaiidae. The record is from RNAcentral.
CAUCCCCCAUCUGCAAGGAGGAGGUUUUACAUGCACGCCCAUAGUCACCAGUGAGAAUAAGACAUACACACUCAUACACCAACCCACAACAAAACCUGCACAGGCACAGCAGGGGAGCUCGCACCAGGAAGCUGACUUAACCCAAACCACUCAGCGAUUUCUCGUCAUACUAUAUCUGGGUCUGCUGCCACUGCUGCCUCCAGAUGAACUAAACGCAGACUCUAGGACUGAUUUGGCCAGUACGUGCAGUGCUACCUGGUUACUUCUUCUUUUUUUUUUUUUCUUUUUCUAUAAUAUAAUUGUUCUGAUCUGGUUAAAAAUAAGCCAUCUGAAAACCAAGAACACAGAACUCCACUCUUCUUUUUUUCCUCCCCUAUCUCGCUUAGAGUAUUUGACUUCCGUAACGUUUAUUUUCGACAGCCACUUUCAGCUUCCUGCGUCUGAAACAUAAUUUGACUCACUGAAGAAUUAAAACUGACAGCACCACAGAGCUGUGUGGGAGAAAAGGGGAUUUUAGACUCAAGUGACACAAUCAAAUCUUGAAGUGAAGAAGUUUGGAUGGCUUCUCACCAAAUGGAAGUGAUCUAGAGAGCCCUCUGAGAACGUUGCAUCUCCGCAUCCAGCUCCUACUGCGUCGAGACGGUGCACU